This 823-nucleotide ribosomal RNA is filed under the name Pseudodiaptomus annandalei. RNAcentral's name for it is "eukaryotic LSU rRNA". The stretch from base 467 to 823 matches the Rfam family "Eukaryotic large subunit ribosomal RNA", at positions 1 to 347 of the family's 3401-position model. The record is from RNAcentral. Lineage: Eukaryota; Metazoa; Arthropoda; Copepoda; Calanoida; Pseudodiaptomidae.
CAGCUUUGGUUUAAAGCGUUCUCGCCCGCGUGCUCGAGUUUUUUUGUUGCGUGACGAGUUGUGAAACGUUUAUUUUUUUCACUUAUUUUUCCUUUCGAAAAAAAAACUCAAACACAACACCAUACAGUGGAUCAUUUGGCUCGGGGGUCGAUGAAGAACGGAGCUAGCUCCGAGACGUAAUGUGAACUGCAGGACAUACGAAUAUCGACACUUUGAACGCGCAUUGCGGACAUGCGAUUUCUAUCGCAUGUCCAUGUUUGGGUCAGGGUCGGUUAAACCGAGUUCAGCCUUUAUUGUGCUGUCUGGCGGGACCGGUGGCCUUGGAGCCGUCGGCCCGCCUAAAACCUCCCGCUCGGAUUCUUUCCCGUGAUGCGGAUCCUAUGGUGUUAACUCGCCUGGAUCGCAGGGAAGUGGCCGGGAUGUGGGGCUUGCCGCCUGGGUGCGAGCGAGCGUUUAUUUUUUUCUUCGACCUGACAUCAAGCAAGACUACCCGCCGAAUUUAAGCAUAUUAAUAAGCGGAGGAAAAGAAAACAACUGUGAUUCCCUUAGUAAUGGCGAAUGAAACGGGAAGAGCCCAUCGCCGAAUCGCGAGUCUUUGGAGGCUCUGCGAAAUGUGGCGUUCGGGAGGGUCUUCCGCGACUCAGACGGCCAGUCAAAGUCCAACUUGACAGUGGCCACCGCCCAUAGAGGGUGAUAGGCCCGUAAGGCGGCCGUCUGGUUGUGCUGACCUCUCUCACGAGUCGGAUUGCUUGGGAGUGCAGUCCAAAGCGCGAGGUAAACUCCUCGUCAGGCUAAAUAUGACCCCGAGACCGAUAGCAAACAA